CGGGGCGUAGCGCAGUCUGGUAGCGCACCACACUGGGGGUGUGGUGGUCACAGGUUCAAAUCCUGUCGUCCCGACAA
This 77-nucleotide transfer RNA is filed under the name Flammeovirgaceae bacterium TMED32. RNAcentral describes it as "tRNA-Pro". It matches the Rfam family "tRNA". Rfam says of the family: Transfer RNA (tRNA) molecules are approximately 80 nucleotides in length. Their secondary structure includes four short double-helical elements and three loops (D, anti-codon, and T loops). Lineage: Bacteria; Pseudomonadati; Bacteroidota; Cytophagia; Cytophagales; Flammeovirgaceae. The record is from RNAcentral.